GCGCGGCUAGCUCAGUGGUAGAGCGUCACAUUGACAUUGUGAAGGCCAUAGGUUCGAUCCCUAUGCCGCGCA
This is a transfer RNA of 72 nucleotides. It matches the Rfam family "tRNA". Rfam says of the family: Transfer RNA (tRNA) molecules are approximately 80 nucleotides in length.